GCUGGCGGUGCGCCUUAUGCAUGCAAGUCGAGCGAAGCUUUUCAGUAGUUUACUACAGAAAAUGACUGAGCGGCGAACGGGUGAGUAACGCGUGAGCAAUCUACCUUAGUUACAGGGAUAGCCCGAGGAAACUCGGAUUAAUACCUGAUAUUCUUUACAUUUCGCAUGAAAUUAAAAGGAAAGGUCAGCCGAACUAAGAUGAGCUCGCGUUCUAUCAGCUAGUUGGUGAGGUAAUAGCUCACCAAGGCAACGACGGAUAGCUGGUCUGAGAGGACGAUCAGCCACACUGGGACUGAGACACGGCCCAGACUCCUACGGGAGGCUGCAGCAGGGAAUAUUGUGCAAUGAACGAAAGUUUGACACAGCGACACCGCGUGUGGGAUGACGGAUCUAGGUUUGUAAACCACUUUCAGGAGGGAAGAAAAUGACGGUACCUCCACAAGAAGCCCCGGCCAACUACGUGCCAGCAGCCGCGGUAAUACGUAGGGGGCGAGCGUUGUCCGGAUUUAUUGGGCGUAAAGAGCUCGUAGGCGGUUCAACAAGUCGGUCGUAAAAGUUCAGGGCUCAACCCUGAAAUGUCGAUCGAUACUGUUGUGACUAGGAUACGGUAGAGGUGAGUGGAAUUC
This 626-nucleotide ribosomal RNA is filed under the name uncultured bacterium. RNAcentral describes it as "bacterial SSU rRNA". It matches the Rfam family "Bacterial small subunit ribosomal RNA", at positions 35 to 669 of the family's 1533-position model. The record is from RNAcentral.